CAACAAUAACAUGCCAACCACGCAAUGAUAGCCAUGGUGUGUGGAAUAACCUUCUAAGCUGCAACCAAAAAGUAGCUGCCAAUACUGGUGCUGUCAUUGGGGGCAUUUUUGGCGGCUUAGCAGGUAUUAUGGUGAUCCUUUCACUUUUGCUGUGCAAACAAUCAAACAGGAACCAGAUCUUUAGAGUGAUCCACAAACAUCUUGAGCUGGGAGCGCGGCCCACAACUGGCACCGUUAUGGAGGACUUCAGUGGAAGUGACAAUAUUGAUAAACGUGGGAGCACUGCAACAUUGCUUACCGGUAUUGAUCCAUCUAAGGUGGCGACCAUGGCAACAAGCUGUGAGAGCACGGCCAAAGAGGUCUAGUAUGGUGACACGUCACUGUGGCUGUGGAAAAGGACAUUGAUUAGCUGUACACUGGUUGUACACUGGUACACUGCCAAAACUCUCCCCGAGCUGAAGAUAGUCACUAUGACCCAGUAUGAUGUGAGCACACCACAUUGCCAGUGUUUGAGAAGGAAAUGGAUUGAUACAAUUAUCAUGAUGGUGUCUACAACUGGAAGCAUCAACAUCAUUGCUAUCUCUGCAGCUCGCACAGCCUGAUGAAAAUCAACACGAUAGUUAUUGGUGGUUCAAAUUUGCUAAGUCAGCAUUUCAUCAAUGUUUCCAUGUAGAUUGUUCAUUUCGUGUUUUCUUUCCAUUUCUUCAUUUGAAGGUUAUCCGACUUUGCAUGUCUUUUUUUCCUCUCAAUUUAUCACUUUCCUGCAAGUGCGAUCUACUCGUAGAUUUUUGGUUAGGUGAUUUUCUGUGAGCAACUCCA
Sycon ciliatum is the source of this 819-nucleotide long non-coding RNA. RefSeq lists it as uncharacterized. The transcript has 2 exons. NCBI's taxonomy places the organism in Eukaryota, Metazoa, Porifera, Calcarea, Leucosolenida, Sycettidae. The record is from RefSeq and is a predicted model, not a curated record.